Molecule: ribosomal RNA, 253 nt
Filed under: uncultured bacterium
Lineage: Bacteria
Description: partial 16S ribosomal RNA
Rfam family: Bacterial small subunit ribosomal RNA
Source: RNAcentral
UACAGAGGUCCCAAGCGUUGUUCGGAUUCACUGGGCGUAAAGGGUGCGUAGGCGGUCGGGUAAGUCUGAUGUGAAAUCUCACAGCUCAACUGUGAAACUGCAUUGGAUACUAUCCGGCUAGAGGAAUGGAGGGGAGACUGGAAUACUUGGUGUAGCAGUGAAAUGCGUAGAUAUCAAGUGGAACACCAGUGGCGAAGGCGAGUCUCUGGACAUUUCCUGACGCUGAGGCACGAAAGCCAGGGGAGCAAACGGG